AGGAUGAACGCUAGCGGCAGGCUUAAUACAUGCAAGUCGUGGGGCAGCGCGGGUAGCAAUACAUGGGUGGCGACCGGCAAACGGGUGCGGAACACGUACGCAACCUUCCUUUAACUGGAGAAUAGCCCGGGGAAACCCGGAUUAAUACUCCGUAACAUUAUGAAGUGGCAUCACUUUAUAAUUAUAGCUCCGGCGGUUGAAGAUGGGCGUGCGUCUGAUUAGGUAGUUGGCGGGUAACGGCCCACCAAGCCUACGAUCAGUAACUGGUGUGAGAGCACGACCAGUCACACGGGCACUGAGACACGGGCCCGACUCCUACGGGAGGCAGCAGUAAGGAAUAUUGGUCAAUGGACGCAAGUCUGAACCAGCCAUGCCGCGUGGAGGAUGAAGGUCCUCUGGAUUGUAAACUUCUUUUAUUUGGGAAGAAACCCCCGAUUUCUAUUGGGGUUGACGGUACCAGAUGAAUAAGCACCGGCUAACUCCGCGCCAGCAGCCGCGGU
RNAcentral lists this ribosomal RNA (500 nucleotides) under uncultured bacterium. RNAcentral describes it as "SSU rRNA". It matches the Rfam family "Bacterial small subunit ribosomal RNA", at positions 26 to 521 of the family's 1533-position model. The record is from RNAcentral.